UCCGUAGGUGAACCUGCGGAGGGAUCAUUGCUGGAACGCGCCCCAGGCGCACCCAGAAACCCUUUGUGAACUUAUACCUUACUGUUGCCUCGGCGCAUGCUGGUCCUCCGGGGCCCCUCACCCCCGGGUGUUGAGACGGCACGCCGGCGGCCAACCCAACUCUUGUUUUUACACUGAAACUCUGAGCACAAAACAUAAAUGAAUCAAAACUUUCAACAACGGAUCUCUUGGUUCUGGCAUCGAUGAAGAACGCAGCGAAAUGCGAUAAGUAAUGUGAAUUGCAGAAUUCAGUGAAUCAUCGAAUCUUUGAACGCACAUUGCGCCCUCUGGUAUUCCGGAGGGCAUGCCUGUUCGAGCGUCAUUUCAACCCUCAAGCCUGGCUUGGUGAUGGGGCACUGCCUGUAAAAGGGCAGGCCCUGAAAUUCAGUGGCGAGCUCGCCAGGACCCCGAGCGCAGUAGUUAAACCCUCGCUCUGGAAGGCCCUGGCGGUGCCCUGCCGUUAAACCCCCAACUUCUGAAAAUUUGACCUCGGAUCAGGUAGGAAUACCCGCUGAACUUAAGCAUAUCAAUAAGCGGAGGA
Molecule: ribosomal RNA, 580 nt
Filed under: Cytospora chrysosperma
Lineage: Eukaryota; Fungi; Ascomycota; Sordariomycetes; Diaporthales; Cytosporaceae
Also listed under: 1 other name
Description: eukaryotic LSU rRNA
Rfam family: 5.8S ribosomal RNA (bases 208-361)
Source: RNAcentral